GGGGGCGUGGCGGAACUGGCAGACGCAAGGGACUUAAAAUCCCUGGGCCCGCAGGGCCGUUCCGGGUUCGAGUCCCGGCGCCCCCA
RNAcentral lists this transfer RNA (86 nucleotides) under Planctomycetota bacterium. Its description in RNAcentral is "Planctomycetes bacterium tRNA-Leu". It matches the Rfam family "tRNA". From Rfam's summary of the family: Transfer RNA (tRNA) molecules are approximately 80 nucleotides in length. Their secondary structure includes four short double-helical elements and three loops (D, anti-codon, and T loops). Lineage: Bacteria; Pseudomonadati; Planctomycetota. The record is from RNAcentral.